GGGGCCUCAAGAUGGGAGGAUACUCAGGGCCAAGGGGACCUGGAACCGGGUCAUCUGGAUACCCAAACAUUUGGCUGAAGGGACAGAAGUUACUGUAUCCAACUGGAGGAAAUAACACCUGUAAAGUGGAAAAAUUCAUGGAAGGUUAAUGCGUUGCUAGAAAUAAAGA
Non-coding RNA from Kogia breviceps (pygmy sperm whale), 169 nucleotides. Lineage: Eukaryota; Metazoa; Chordata; Mammalia; Artiodactyla; Physeteridae. The record is from RefSeq and is a predicted model, not a curated record.